RNAcentral lists this ribosomal RNA (855 nucleotides) under uncultured bacterium. RNAcentral's name for it is "SSU rRNA". It matches the Rfam family "Bacterial small subunit ribosomal RNA", at positions 524 to 1381 of the family's 1533-position model. The record is from RNAcentral.
UACGUAGGGUGCGAGCGUUAAUCGGAAUUACUGGGCGUAAAGGGUGCGCAGGUGGUUUUGCAAGACUGACGUGAAAGCCCCGGGCUCAACCUGGGAACGGCGUUAGUGACUGCAAGACUAGAGUGUGGCAGAGGGGGGUGGAAUUCCACGUGUAGCAGUGAAAUGCGUAGAGAUGUGGAGGAACACCGAUGGCGAAGGCAGCCCCCUGGGCUAACACUGACACUCAUGCACGAAAGCGUGGGGAGCAAACAGAAUUAGAUACCCUGGUAGUCCACGCCCUAAACGAUGUCAACUGGUUGUUGGGAUUUUCGGAUCUUAGUAACGAAGCUAACGCGAGAAGUUGACCGCCUGGGGAGUACGGCCGCAAGGUUAAAACUCAAAGGAAUUGACGGGGGCCCGCACAAGCGGUGGAUGAUGUGGAUUAAUUCGAUGCAACGCGAAAAACCUUACCUGGUCUUGACAUGUCGAGGAUCCUCCAGAGACGGAGGAGUGCCGCAAGGAACUCGAACACAGGUGCUGCAUGGCUGUCGUCAGCUCGCGUCGUGAGAUGUUGGGUUAAGUCCCGCAACGAGCGCAACCCUUGCCAUUAGUUGCCAUCCUUAAGUUGGGCACUCUAAUGGGACUGCCGGUGACAAACCGGAGGAAGGUGGGGAUGACGUCAAGUCCUCAUGGCCCUUAUGACCAGGGCUUCACACGUCAUACAAUGGUCGGUACAGAGGGUAGCUAAGCCGCGAGGUGGUGCCAAUCUCAGAAAACCGAUCGUAGUCCGGAUUGCAGUCUGCAACUCGACUGCAUGAAGUCGGAAUCGCUAGUAAUCGCGGAUCAGCAUGUCGCGGUGAAUACGUUCCCGGGCCU